GUGCUAAGGUAGCAUAAUAAUUUGUCUUAUAAUAGAAGGCUGGUAUGAAUGAGUUGACAGUACUAAAACUUUCUCGAAAAAAUUUUUUGAAAUUGAUCCCCACAUCAAAAAGUGUGGCUCUCUAAAGGGACGAUAAGACCCUAUAAAGCUUUCAAUUAAUACCUUAUUUUACAUAAAGAUACUAAAUUUUAGUAAUUAAUUAAGCUGGGGCGGUAAUUACAAAGCAGUAAUAAUUCUAACAUUUAUUCAUGAAAUUUUAGAUCUUAAUAAAGAUUUAGAACAAGCUACUUUAGGGAUAACAGCAUAAUUUCUUAAAAUAGAUCUCAUAGAUUAAUAAGACUUAUGACCUCGAUGUUGAAUUGGGGGGCUCACUAUAAGCAGGAGUANGGAAGAGGGGUCUGUUCGACCUUUAAUCCCCCACGUGA
This 425-nucleotide ribosomal RNA is filed under the name Eurycope inermis. RNAcentral's name for it is "partial 16S ribosomal RNA". It matches the Rfam family "Bacterial large subunit ribosomal RNA", at positions 1948 to 2603 of the family's 2925-position model. Lineage: Eukaryota; Metazoa; Arthropoda; Malacostraca; Isopoda; Munnopsidae. The record is from RNAcentral.